AAGGAUAUGCUAUUCCUUAUUCAGAAUGAUUUUUUUGGUUUCUUUGCAUUACCAUACCCGUGUUUGCAAGUAUUUUUGGUCAUCACAAAUGCAAGUUCUUACCAGUGAAAGGUACCAGUGCAAGUAUAUUUGUUUUCUGCAUCAGUUCCUAAUAACACCCAAAUUUGUACUGCCAUAAAAUAUUCACAUUCCCUACCUUAGUGACAUCAUUUGUUCAGAUAUAUUCAGAAAUGUCUUUGAGGGUGCUGCUACUUUACAUCAUUUUAUGGUCAGAUGUAAGAUUAGGCUCCACUAUGUCCUUUCUUGAAAUUAUUUUUCUUUACAACCAUCUGCUGAUUAAAAAUAAAAAAAUGAUUACAAUUUUUGUACAGAUCAAUGUGAGCUGAAAUAACUUCCGGUACCAUUUCAUAUUUUUUUUUCUUUCUAGUCCAUUAUUAUUUUCCUCAUUUUUUUAUUGUGUCCCAUAAACUAAAAAUAUCAGUUCAUAUUGUUUUCCUUGUUGAGCUUUCUAACAUUGCACCAUGUAUGUUAUCAAAUUGUCAAUUGUAGAUCACUGAGUCUACUAGCCAGAGAUCUGAAGUGUAUGUGGAUACAGAUCAAUGUGAGCUGCAAUUUUGUGAACGUGUAAAGCUGGGUUAGUUUCUAGUCUCAUGCACACGUGACACAUCACUCAUUCACUCAUGUGGAUCGUGGGUCAACGACUCAGCGUAUACCCAUACCCAAAACUCUGUAACGAAAUUGCUGGUGGGCAGCAACAGGAACAGCCGAACAGGACCACGUCAAUGGAAGUGGGAGCAGCCGCCGCCGGCAAGCUGAAUGCGGAGCUGUUUCAGUGGUUGGCGUUCGGCCGCGUGAUCCCGUUCAGGGCAUGUUCGGUUUGAAGGGGUUUGAGGGGGAUUGGAGGGGAUUAAAUCCCCUCCUAUUUAAAUUUGUAUAGAAGGGGAUUUAAUCCC
Molecule: long non-coding RNA, 953 nt
Filed under: Zea mays
Lineage: Eukaryota; Viridiplantae; Streptophyta; Magnoliopsida; Poales; Poaceae
Description: long non-coding RNA (ZMAY_LNC002649)
Source: RNAcentral